Long non-coding RNA from Gallus gallus (chicken), 1032 nucleotides. RefSeq lists it as uncharacterized. The record is from RefSeq and is a predicted model, not a curated record. The transcript has 2 exons. NCBI's taxonomy places the organism in Eukaryota, Metazoa, Chordata, Aves, Galliformes, Phasianidae.
AAAGCGUGUGGGUCACCAUCCAUAGGGCAGGCAGGGCUAAAGGGAUCCGAGAGCCCCAGGAGAGAUGCGAGCAUGCUCCCAAAGCACAGAAGCAUCCAAGGCAAGUAAGGAGACACAGUAGCAUCCAGAGAAGGGGAUGCAACUGGCAGCUGAGAGUGUUUCCAGCGCUUCUUGGGUUGGUAUAAGGUCUUCUGUUAUUUAAUAUGCUGUUGGCUGCAGAUGUUUUUGGAAGAGCAAGUCAUCUGCCUCAUCCCACUAAGAAUAUUAGAACUAUUCUGGACUAAGUGCACUGGUUCAAUACUUCAGACAUUGAGAAAAUGCGUGCUGGGAGACUCAGAAGCAUCCAGAGGAUUUAUGAUCAGAACAUAAGGUCUUCUGGAAGUCAAUAGGGCUUUUGUCCCUAAAUCGUUCAUGUAGCUUUUAAACUCACUCCUGUAAACUGUAAAUGGACAGAGUGGAAGGAAGGAGCUUCUUGGCAGUUGUGUUAGGAAGUAAGCAACUAUGCCACUGAGAGAGAGAAGCUACAUUGAUCUUUUGCAUGCAGAAACCUCUGAAUACUUUGCAGCUGUGUUAUUGCAGAUUGCAUAUCAGAAAUUCUUUCAGUGGUGACCCUCUGACCCUGUUAAUUAUUCAAGAAGUGACAUGACUGACAAGGACCAUAUUUCUUUGACUGCUAUUGCUUGUGGAUUCCCCAAAGUCAGCCUCUCCUGAGACAGAAAAGAAAAACUUUGCUGUACCUUCUUUGUGGGUACCUGUGGUAUGGUCAUGCCAAUGCACAUUGCAAAUAAGAAUGUGAGUAGUUGUUUCAUGCUGUUUCAAGGAGGAAGUCAACUUCUGGGCUCAACGUUCAUCUGCAGCACAGUUCCUGGCAAUCUCAGAUGUCUGACUAAUUGCAGGUGAGACAGUCACACAGAACUGCUGGUGAUUCUUGUGUCAGAGCAGCCAGUGCAAAAUUAUUGUCUGAUGUAAUGAAGACAGAAAUUUCCCAAACCAAACUAUGUAAGAUUAAAGUUGCACGUUGCUUUCAUUUGA